RNAcentral lists this ribosomal RNA (266 nucleotides) under uncultured bacterium. Its description in RNAcentral is "partial 16S ribosomal RNA". It matches the Rfam family "Bacterial small subunit ribosomal RNA", at positions 28 to 293 of the family's 1533-position model. The record is from RNAcentral.
GAUGAACGCUAGCGGCAGGCCUAAUACAUGCAAGCUGAACGGUAAAUGUUGUAGCAAUACAAUAUGAGAGUAGCGUAAGGGUGCGUAACACGUAUGCAAUCUACCCGCAACAGGAGGAUAGCUCCCCGAAAGGGAAUUAAUACUCCAUAAGAUCACGAGAGGGCAUCCGAUUGUGAUUAGACUCCAAGGGGUUGCGGAUGAGCAUGCGCCNGAUUAGUUAGUUGGUGAGGUAACGGCUCACCAAGACGAUGAUCAGUAGGGGAACU